RNAcentral lists this ribosomal RNA (253 nucleotides) under uncultured bacterium. RNAcentral's name for it is "partial 16S ribosomal RNA". It matches the Rfam family "Bacterial small subunit ribosomal RNA", at positions 524 to 776 of the family's 1533-position model. The record is from RNAcentral.
UACGUAGGGCGCGAGCGUUGUCCGGAAUCACUGGGCGUAAAGGGCUCGCAGGCGGCCUGUCGCGUCGGCCGUGAAAGCCCGAGGCUCAACCUCGGAAGUGCGGUCGAUACGGGCAGGCUCGAGGGCGGUAGAGGGGAGUGGAACUCCCGGUGUAGCGGUGAAAUGCGCAGAUAUCGGGAGGAACACCGGUGGCGAAGGCGGCUCCCUGGACCGUACCUGACGCUCAGGAGCGAAAGCGUGGGGAGCAAACAGG